Molecule: long non-coding RNA, 753 nt
Organism: Nerophis ophidion (straightnose pipefish)
Lineage: Eukaryota; Metazoa; Chordata; Actinopteri; Syngnathiformes; Syngnathidae
Exons: 4
Source: RefSeq, a predicted model, not a curated record
CUUUCUAUCCUUCAGCUGCCCUUCAUGAGUUCCUUGCUAGAUUUACAAAAGUAUCACAGCAUAUCUGAAGACCUGUAUUGGAGAAGCAGAUCUAAAUUGUUAAAGGUGCCACUUUGAGAGAUAAUCUACCAGAGUUGUGCACUCUCCAAAAGCCAUAGAUGUUACAACGUGACUGGGCCGGCACGCUGUUUAUAUGGAGGAAAAGUGGACGGGACGACAGGCUGUCCUCACUCAGGUGGAAGGGGCGUGCCUCGUUGUCCGGCUGGAAAUUGUGGGAAAUUCGGGAGAAUGGUUGCCCCGGCGGAUUUUAAGGAGAAGCACUGAAAUUUGGGAGUCUCCCGGAAAAUUCGGGAGGGUUGCACCGCCUGACAGGUAAGCACCUCACAAGUGGACCAGGGAAUGGAGGCAGAGUGGAACACAGAGGACAACGCCCUAGCCUUGGCCGCAUCAUCGAGGGGCGGUACAUUCUCCUGUACCUGUUCAAUCAGCAUGAAGUGCUACCAGCUGUGCGGCCAGGUGGGACCCAGUAAACCUUUCUUUACUUUGCCUCAUUCAGGUCUGGCUCUCCUCUGUGUCAAGGCAGGUGAAUCAGGCGGCAAUUACCUAUGACAUUUAAAGAAGUGUGCUGUGUGAAGGACUGAGAGCCCCGGACGGGAGAUAUUUAUGUUUGGUGACUUUAAUUGUGAUUCUUCCACACCCCGCCCUUCCUAAAAAGACUUGUAUAAUAAAUGCCCUUUUUGGCUUGCUGCAAAA